Molecule: ribosomal RNA, 305 nt
Filed under: uncultured bacterium
Lineage: Bacteria
Description: bacterial SSU rRNA
Rfam family: Bacterial small subunit ribosomal RNA
Source: RNAcentral
CCUACGGGAGGCAGCAGUGGGGAAUAUUGCACAAUGGGGGAAACCCUGAUGCAGCGACGCCGCGUGAGUGAAGAAGUAUUUCGGUACGUAAAGCUCUAUCAGCAGGGAAGAAAAAAAGUCCUUUGGACUUUGGACGGUACCUGACCAAGAAGCCCCGGCUAACUACGUGCCAGCAGCCGCGGUAAUACGUAGGGAGCAAGCGUUAUCCGGAUUUAUUGGGUGUAAAGGGUGCGUAGACGGGAAUGCAAGUUGGUUGUGAAAUCCCUCGGCUUAACUGAGGAACUGCAACCAAAACUACAUUUCUU